UAAGGAAUAUUGGACAAUGGGGGAAACCCUGAUCCAGCAACGCCGCGUGGGCGACGAAGGUCUUCGGAUCGUAAAGCCCUUUUCUGGGGGAAGAGAGAGGACGGUACCCCAGGAAUAAGUCUCGGCUAACUACGUGCCAGCAGCCGCGGUAAAACGUAGGAGGCGAGCGUUAUCCGGAUUUACUGGGCGUAAAGCGCGUGCAGGCGGUGGUGCGCGUUGGGCGUGAAAUCUCCCGGCUCAACUGGGAGGCGCCGUCCAAUACGGCAUCACUUGAGGGCAGGAGAGGGAAGUAGAAUUCCCGGUGUAGCGGUAAUAUGCGCAGAUAUCGGGAGGAAUACCAGUGGCGAAGGCGGCUUCCUGGCCUGUUCCUGACGCUAAGACGCGAAAGCUAGGGUAGCGAACGG
RNAcentral lists this ribosomal RNA (404 nucleotides) under uncultured bacterium. Its description in RNAcentral is "bacterial SSU rRNA". It matches the Rfam family "Bacterial small subunit ribosomal RNA", at positions 355 to 775 of the family's 1533-position model. The record is from RNAcentral.